Molecule: long non-coding RNA, 954 nt
Organism: Aethina tumida (small hive beetle)
Lineage: Eukaryota; Metazoa; Arthropoda; Insecta; Coleoptera; Nitidulidae
Exons: 2
Source: RefSeq, a predicted model, not a curated record
AACGCUUAGGAACAAAUACAAAAAAGAGGGAUCACAUGUAAAAAUUUCAACAAUGAAUAUAAUGAAAUGGAUUCCUUUAGUCAUAUGUGUCAUUUCACAUAAUCGAAUCUCCAGUUCCGAUGCUUCUGUUAUUAGGCUGAACACUGAUGCAGCUCACACACAGAAGCACAACUGCAUGGAUUCGGAUACUUCUGAACCUUGUAAUAUUACCAAAGAUAACCAAGACAUUAUUGAAAAAAGAAAAAAGUCAAAAUUGCCUAACACAGUUGAAUGGAUAUAUUCUCAAAACAAAAAAGAAAUAUUCACAAUUGUUGCUUUCAUGUUUUUCUUAUUUAUAAUAUAUUUAUUCAUAAGAAAGGUUUCUAAAAUGUUUAAUACUCGAUUUUUCACACCAGGCUGUAGGUUAGUUUAUAGUUAACAAAAAUUUAUUAUUAUGCCUAUUAUUAUCAAUCUAUUUUCACAUCUUUAAAGGACUCCUGAAUCGUUUUAACUAUAGCAAAUCGACAAUUAUGAAACAAAGUGCAACUAAUUCUCUUUUUACACGAUAGAUGUUCCCAAAAAAUUCGCUUUAAAAAAGAAUUAGGUGUAAAUAUAAAAAAAUUCUUGUUAGAGUUCAAUUAAGAAUUUAUUUCCUGCUUACACACUUUAAUUCGUUAAACAUAUUAUAAAAAUAAGGAAUUAAUAUAAUAAGAUUCACUAACACACUUAACUCGUGUUAAAUAAAAGAGAGAAUUAGAUGUAUUCCAUAAUCGAAUCUCGGGUAAAAGGAUCAAGUACACCAGAAACCCGUUACUGGUCCUCGCCCGUAGAUAAUAAUUAUUUACUUUACUUGCGGUUACAACUGUAUUUAAUAUAUUAUUUUGUUAACAAGUUAUUUUUGGUUUAUUUUUAAAACUACCGUAUUAAAUGUAUUAUUUUUGUGAUAACUCUGUAAUUAAAUCUUUUUGGGGCCUA